Molecule: long non-coding RNA, 681 nt
Filed under: Haliotis rubra (blacklip abalone)
Lineage: Eukaryota; Metazoa; Mollusca; Gastropoda; Lepetellida; Haliotidae
Description: uncharacterized LOC124290262
Source: RNAcentral
ACAUUGAAACUAAAACUGAAAUUACGGAAAUUAAACACAGUGCAUGCCUAUAUCAUAAGGAAGUGAAAAUGGCCAUUCGUCGAAAGGAAAUAAUGACGACUAGAGUGUAAAUUCUCAGAAACAAGUUGGCUAGUUAUAUAUAAAGUGUCCGUUGGGCGUUCUCAGACAGACACACAACAGAGACGCUUGGGAGAACACUUGGCGCUAUACUUCCACAACAUACGACGGUAUUAAACUUUGGAACAGACGGAACACUUCUGCAAACAGCAAAAUGUCUGACAGAAGUGGCAGCAAAGGGUACUCCGGAACUGGAACAAAAGCUGACCUUGGCAACCACUCCAACCAGAUGAACCCAAACAACCCCGAGUAUCGAGGGGGGGUCCAGCAGUUACUCUGGGGCAGGUACAAGACCGGACCUCAACAACCACUCCAAUCAGCUCAACCCAAACCACUCCCAGUAUGGUGGGGGCACGCCUGGAGGCAAGAAGUGAUGACGUGUCAACUGAUGGUUGGCUUGCACAGACACUACAGACACAUCACGUGACAUUGUGUCAGUAAGGCUACUACUGUGCCAUGGUUGUGAAGUCAUAUACUGACCAGAUAAAAUAUAAUAAUAAUAAUAAUUCCAUUUGAUGUAUAGUAAAGAUAUAUAGUAUGAAAUAAAUAUGUUAUAACUGCAAA